This 516-nucleotide ribosomal RNA is filed under the name Bolitoglossa zapoteca. Its description in RNAcentral is "partial 16S ribosomal RNA". It matches the Rfam family "Bacterial large subunit ribosomal RNA", at positions 1817 to 2597 of the family's 2925-position model. Lineage: Eukaryota; Metazoa; Chordata; Amphibia; Caudata; Plethodontidae. The record is from RNAcentral.
CGCCUUUUGUAGUACACACAUAAAAGGUCCUGCCUGCCCAAUGACUUGUUUUAAUGGCCGCGGUAUUAUGACCGUGCAAAGGUAGCGUAAUCAUUUGUCUUUUAAAUAAAGACCCGUAUGAAUGGCAAAACGAGAGCCCUACUGUCUCCCUAGCCUAAUCAAUGAAAUUGAUCUCCCCGUGCAGAAGCGGGGAUAAAAGUAUAAGACGAGAAGACCCUGUGGAGCUUUAAACUCUUACUAACGAACCACAAACGCAUUUAGUACUAAGUUUUAGGUUGGGGCGACCAUGAGGUAUAACACAACCCUCACGACAGUAACUAAGAAGGACACUUCAAACAACUAGUAUAGUAUAUUGACCCAAUAAUUGAUCAACGAACCAAGUUACCCCAGGGAUAACAGCGCAAUCUACUCAAAGAGUUCAUAUCGACGAGCAGGUUUACGACCUCGAUGUUGGAUCAGGACCCCCAAAUAGCGCAACAGCUAUUAAAGGUUCGUUUGUUCAACGAUUAAAGUCCU